CUUGACGACCAUAGAGCAUUGGAACCACCUGAUCCCAUCCCGAACUCAGUAGUGAAACGAUGCAUCGCCG
RNAcentral lists this ribosomal RNA (70 nucleotides) under Pseudomonas putida. RNAcentral also lists the same sequence under 1 other name. Lineage: Bacteria; Pseudomonadati; Pseudomonadota; Gammaproteobacteria; Pseudomonadales; Pseudomonadaceae. The record is from RNAcentral.